UUCCGGUUGAUCCUGCCAGAGGUCACUGCUAUUGGGAUUCGACUAAGCCAUGCGAGUCGUGAGGGUUCGGCCCUCGGCAGACGGCUCAGUAACACGUAGAUAAUUUGCCCUUAGGUGGAGGAUACCCUCGGGAAACUGAGAAUAAUACUCCAUAGAUCUAGACUGCUGGAAUGCUUUUAGAUUGAAAGAUUUAUCGCCUAAGGAUAAGUCUGCGGACUAUCAGGUUGUAGUCAGGGUAACUA
This 242-nucleotide ribosomal RNA is filed under the name uncultured euryarchaeote. RNAcentral describes it as "partial 16S ribosomal RNA". It matches the Rfam family "Archaeal small subunit ribosomal RNA", at positions 1 to 247 of the family's 1478-position model. Lineage: Archaea; Methanobacteriati; Methanobacteriota. The record is from RNAcentral.